Camellia sinensis is the source of this 465-nucleotide non-coding RNA. NCBI's taxonomy places the organism in Eukaryota, Viridiplantae, Streptophyta, Magnoliopsida, Ericales, Theaceae. The record is from RefSeq and is a predicted model, not a curated record.
UCUCCAGAUUUGCAGUUUCUCUCACUCUAGCUCUCGCUCGAAUUCUCUCUGUCGCAGUCUCACUCUCGCUCUUGCUCAAAUUCUCUCACUCUUACUCUCUGUACUCAUCUCUUCAUCAGAUUCGAAGGUUGAUUCUUGAAGAUUCGAAGGUUGAUUCUCCAGAUUUGUAGUUGUCUCUUUCGAUUUUAUCUCAUCGUUCAUCAAUUGGUCGAUUAAUCUACAUGAAACCUGUUUGAGAUUUGGCUUCUCAAAUCUGUUCAAAAGAGGCUCUUAGAAUUCAUACUUGCUGCAUUCCAUCGAUCUCCUGAUUUUGUUACACUUCUGAAGGUAUUCUCCUGACCAAAUUAUGCCUAAACUUUUCGGUUGCAAGUCAAUUAUGUUGGAGCUUUAUUGAUUACUUACCUUAGUAUCAUUGUUACCUGCUAUGUCGAAUGUAAUUCUAGAUCUGGAAAAUGGAAAGUAGGA